CAAUGGGCGCAAGCCUGAUGGAGCAACACCGCGUGAGUGAAGAAGGGUUUCGGCUCGUAAAGCUCUGUUGUUGGAGAAGAACGUGCGUGAGAGUAACUGUUCACGCAGUGACGGUAUCCAACCAGAAAGUCACGGCUAACUACGUGCCAGCAGCCGCGGUAAUACGUAGGUGGCAAGCGUUAUCCGGAUUUAUUGGGCGUAAAGCGAGCGCAGGCGGUUACUUAGGUCUGAUGUGAAAGCCUUCGGCUUAACCGAAGAAGUGCAUCGGAAACCGGGCGACUUGAGUGCAGAAGAGGACAGUGGAACUCCAUGUGUAGCGGUGGAAUGCGUAGAUAUAUGGAAGAACACCAGUGGCGAAGGCGGCUGUCUGGUCUGCAACUGACGCUGAGGCUCGAAAGCAUGGGUAGCGAACAGGAUUAGAUACCCUGGUAGUCCAUGCCGUAAACGAUGAGUGUUAGGUGUUGGAGGGUUUCCGCCCUUCAGUGCCGGAGCUAACGCAUUAAGCACUCCGCCUGGGGAGUACGACCGCAAGGUUGAAACUCAAAGGAAUUGACGGGGGCCCGCACAAGCGGUGGAGCAUGUGGUUUAAUUCGAAGCUACGCGAAGAACCUUACCAGGUCUUGACAUCUUGCGCUAACCUUAGAGAUAAGGCGUUCCCUUCGGGGACGCAAUGACAGGUGGUGCAUGGUCGUCGUCAGCUCGUGUCGUGAGAUGUUGGGUUAAGUCCCGCAACGAGCGCAACCCUUGUUACUAGUUGCCAGCAUUAAGUUGGGCACUCUAGUGAGACUGCCGGUGACAAACCGGAGGAAGGUGGGGACGACGUCAGAUCAUCAUGCCCCUUAUGACCUGGGCUACACACGUGCUACAAUGGACGGUACAACGAGUUGCAAACUCGCGAGAGCAAGCUAAUCUCUUAAAGCCGUUCUCAGUUCGGACUGUAGGCUGCAACUCGCCUACACGAAGUCGGAAUCGCUAGUAAUCGCGGAUCAGCAUGCUGCGGUGAAUACGUUCCCGGGCCU
This 1019-nucleotide ribosomal RNA is filed under the name uncultured Lactobacillus sp. Its description in RNAcentral is "bacterial SSU rRNA". It matches the Rfam family "Bacterial small subunit ribosomal RNA", at positions 369 to 1381 of the family's 1533-position model. The record is from RNAcentral. Lineage: Bacteria; Bacillati; Bacillota; Bacilli; Lactobacillales; Lactobacillaceae.